AAUCCUGGCUCAGGAUGAACGCUAGCUACAGGCUUAACACAUGCAAGUCGAGGGGCAGCGGGAUUGAAGCUUGCUUCAAUUGCCGGCGACCGGCGCACGGGUGAGUAACGCGUAUCCAACCUUCCGUACACUCAGGGAUAGCCUUUCGAAAGAAAGAUUAAUACCUGAUGGUAUCUUAAGCACACAUGUAAUUAAGAUUAAAGAUUUAUCGGUGUACGAUGGGGAUGCGUUCCAUUAGGUAGUAGGCGGGG
RNAcentral lists this ribosomal RNA (251 nucleotides) under uncultured bacterium. RNAcentral's name for it is "partial 16S ribosomal RNA". It matches the Rfam family "Bacterial small subunit ribosomal RNA", at positions 15 to 257 of the family's 1533-position model. The record is from RNAcentral.